This 253-nucleotide ribosomal RNA is filed under the name uncultured bacterium. Its description in RNAcentral is "partial 16S ribosomal RNA". It matches the Rfam family "Bacterial small subunit ribosomal RNA", at positions 524 to 776 of the family's 1533-position model. The record is from RNAcentral.
UACGGGGGGGGCAAGCGUUGUUCGGAAUUACUGGGCGUAAAGGGCUUGUAGGUGGCCAACUAAGUCAGACGUGAAAUCCCUCGGCUUAACCGGGGAACUGCGUCUGAUACUGGAUGGCUUGAGAUUGGGAGAGGGAUGCGGAAUUCCAGGUGUAGCGGUGAAAUGCGUAGAUAUCUGGAGGAACACCGGUGGCGAAGGCGGCAUCCUGGACCAACACUGACGCUGAUGAGCGAAAGCCAGGGGAGCAAACGGG